UGGGGAAUUUUGCGCAAUGGGGAAACCCUGACGCAGCAACGCCGCGUGAGUGAUGAAGGCUUUCGGGUCGUAAAGCUCUGUCUAGAGGGAAGAAAUGAUAAUCGGUUAAUACCCGGUUUUCUUGACGGUACCUCUGAAGGAAGCACCGGCUAACUCCGUGCCAGCAGCCGCGGUAAUACGGAGGGUGCAAGCGUUGUUCGGAUUUAUUGGGCGUAAAGCGCGUGUAGGCGGUUUGUUAAGUCUGAUGUGAAAGCCCCGGGCUCAACCUGGGAAGUGCAUUGGAAACUGGCAGACUUGAAUACGGGAGAGGGUAGUGGAAUUCCUAGUGUAGGAGUGAAAUCCGUAGAUAUUAGGAGGAACACCGGUGGCGAAGGCGGCUACCUGGACCGAUAUUGACGCUGAGACGCGAAAGCGUGGGGAGCAAAC
Molecule: ribosomal RNA, 426 nt
Filed under: uncultured bacterium
Lineage: Bacteria
Description: bacterial SSU rRNA
Rfam family: Bacterial small subunit ribosomal RNA
Source: RNAcentral